This 160-nucleotide ribosomal RNA is filed under the name uncultured soil bacterium. RNAcentral describes it as "partial 16S ribosomal RNA". It matches the Rfam family "Bacterial small subunit ribosomal RNA", at positions 355 to 507 of the family's 1533-position model. The record is from RNAcentral.
UAGGGAAUCUUCCGCAAUGGACGAAAGUCUGACGGAGCAACGCCGCGUGAGUGAUGAAGGCUUUCGGGUCGUAAAACUCUGUUGUUAGGGAAGAACAAGUAUGAGGGUAACUGCUCGUACCUUGACGGUACCUAGCCAGAAAGCCACGGCUAACUACGUG